Molecule: long non-coding RNA, 1977 nt
Organism: Bombus pascuorum
Lineage: Eukaryota; Metazoa; Arthropoda; Insecta; Hymenoptera; Apidae
Exons: 3
Source: RefSeq, a predicted model, not a curated record
AAAACCAGUUCCUUUCUUUUUUCGAUAGACGAACGAGUAACCGAAACGACGAUUAUGAAAUGAAAACGCGUUUUGUUUAAACGAUUGCGUAAAACGAAACGCAUCUUGUUUAACGACACAUCGAUGUGUCGUUUAACGCACCAAAAAGAACGAAUUCGUUGCUUUCACCGGACGAAAUAAAUUUCUUCGCUUCUUCUCAGAUGGACGCGCAACUUUCGGAAGUGUAACGAUCGCCGUUAAAAAAAAGAAAAUAAGAUUCCUCGUUCGAACUGUUCGAACAGAUUCAUAUGUAAUAGGGAAAGAGAGCAGCAACAGCGUCGAAUUAUAUCCACUUUUCCUCGUUCGCUUUUACGAUCACCACAUACAUAAUCGUGAAACUGCCGAAGAUAACUUUCCACUCGUAUACCUACACGAAAAAAAAAGAAAAAGAAACGAAAGGAAAGAAAAAAGAAAUAAUAUAAAACGAAAACCAAAUGAAAGGCGGACAUUGUACAAAUUAAAUAUGUGUACAAUAACCGAUCGAUAACACAAAAAGAUACGAAGAAACGAAACGAACGAUUCGCAAUUCGUAUAGGUUUUCGAGAGGAAACUUUUCUUCCGGACCGAUCCACUGAAUUUUCGAAGACAUUUGCACGUCCCUGGGUCAUAGAGAUAGGACCGCCCCUGCCGAAGAAGUAGGCGGCGUUCACCAGCCCUGAUCGUUGGUAUUACUCGGCACUCUAACGUGGUGCCGGAGAUCAGGGUUAGCGAAGAAACGGCAUGCGAUGGCGGCCGACCGAACCUGAACAUUCUUCCACUUUUUCAACCCCCUGGAUCUUUAUCAGCUCGCCAUCCAGACCAGUUGCGCCACAAUUUCCGCCCGAUAACCGCGCUGCACCGUAACCGUUGCCAAUACUUUCCAUCGGUGAAAACUGUCCUCCGUUUCCGGUCCGGGUAAGAACGCGUGCGUGAAGAAUUUGCUUAAAAGCCUACGGAUGUAACAGGCUGUUACAGGUAACACAGCAGUACGGUAUGCAGCGGUUGACACGAAAGUUGGCCGUACGAGAAAUUCCUUUCGAAGACGCGCGCCUCGAUGGCAUUCAACCUUUGGAGAUAUUUAUUUUUGGAAACGCUUCGUGUUACUCGGUACCUCGAUUUAGAUAGCAUGACAGAUGAAUUUGAUAUACCGCGAUUUAUUAGUUUCACGACACUGCCAACGAACGUGUCGGACACCACGCAUACCGUCCGUUUAUUCCGCAAUGUUCGGAUCUCAAUUCCACAGAGAUAAUCCUGAAAGUAUCUGCAAAGGUGAGGGAAGGAGAUACCAUUAUCGAUGCAUACCGGCUCACCCAAUAAAACGUUGGUAGCUUACAGCCCUGGAUCGUCAUUCUGCACGUCCGUGGAUGAAACUCUUGGAGAAAAGCAAGAGAUGCUGCAGUUCACUCUACUUCUCUCUUCCUCUCUCGUCCAGUACGUUCUCUUUCUCCACUGACCAACAGCAACGGAAUAAAUAAAGUAAAUAGAGGAAUAUAGGAGGUAAAUAAAAAAUGUGGCAGCAGAGGAGAGAGACAGAGAAAUAGAGAGAGACAGAGACAAGGAGAGAAAGAGAGAGAGAGAGGGGAGUGUGUGCGAGGAAGGAGGGAGGGAGGUAAGGAGAAAAAGAGAGUUAAAGGGAAAGAAGGAGAGGAAAGAAGAGAGGAAGGGAGAGUGCCCUCAGGGCGAAUUCCCGUCGAGCAUCGGCCGCUGCAGAAUCCAGAGGUGCGUUCACCGGGGAAAUCCCUCCCUCGGAGAUUAUCCUCUUGAAGAAAACUCGACGACUGUGCAUUUUUAACGCGCGCCGUGUACGACCGCGUGUUCCUUUAUUUACCAUUGCGUUUUCUUAAGAGCACUUCACUCUUCUUUCGUCGCAUUUUUACGAAAGUCAUAUUUACGUCAGACAAAACUAACGAUAGAUUGUACACUUGGAAUUGCACAAGAUAAACGAGAUAGAGUUGUAAA